GAUGAACGCUGGCGGCGUGCCUAAUACAUGCAAGUCGAGCGAACAGACGAGGAGCUUGCUCCUCUGACGUUAGCGGCGGACGGGUGAGUAACACGUGGAUAACCUACCUAUAAGACUGGGAUAACUUCGGGAAACCGGAGCUAAUACCGGAUAAUAUAUUGAACCGCAUGGUUCAAUAGUGAAAGACGGUUUUGCUGUCACUUAUGGAUGGAUCCGCGCCGCAUUAGCUAGUUGGUAAGGUAACGGCUUACCAAGGCAACGAUGCGUAGCCGACCUGAGAGGGGGAUCGGCCACACUGGAACGGAGACACGGUCCAGACUCCUACGGGAGGCAGCAGUAGGGAAUCUUCCGCAAUGGGCGAAAGCUUGACGGAGCAACGCCGCGUGAGUGAUGAAGGUCUUCGGAUCGUAAAACUCUGUUAUUAGGGAAGAACAAAUGUGUAAGUAACUAUGCACGUCUUGACGGUACCUAAUCAGAAAGCCACGGCUAACUACGUG
Molecule: ribosomal RNA, 497 nt
Filed under: uncultured bacterium
Lineage: Bacteria
Description: partial 16S ribosomal RNA
Rfam family: Bacterial small subunit ribosomal RNA
Source: RNAcentral